RNAcentral lists this ribosomal RNA (2923 nucleotides) under Staphylococcus aureus. RNAcentral describes it as "23S ribosomal RNA". It matches the Rfam family "Bacterial large subunit ribosomal RNA". The record is from RNAcentral. Lineage: Bacteria; Bacillati; Bacillota; Bacilli; Caryophanales; Staphylococcaceae.
GAUUAAGUUAUUAAGGGCGCACGGUGGAUGCCUUGGCACUAGAAGCCGAUGAAGGACGUUACUAACGACGAUAUGCUUUGGGGAGCUGUAAGUAAGCUUUGAUCCAGAGAUUUCCGAAUGGGGAAACCCAGCAUGAGUUAUGUCAUGUUAUCGAUAUGUGAAUACAUAGCAUAUCAGAAGGCACACCCGGAGAACUGAAACAUCUUAGUACCCGGAGGAAGAGAAAGAAAAUUCGAUUCCCUUAGUAGCGGCGAGCGAAACGGGAAGAGCCCAAACCAACAAGCUUGCUUGUUGGGGUUGUAGGACACUCUAUACGGAGUUACAAAGGACGACAUUAGACGAAUCAUCUGGAAAGAUGAAUCAAAGAAGGUAAUAAUCCUGUAGUCGAAAAUGUUGUCUCUCUUGAGUGGAUCCUGAGUACGACGGAGCACGUGAAAUUCCGUCGGAAUCUGGGAGGACCAUCUCCUAAGGCUAAAUACUCUCUAGUGACCGAUAGUGAACCAGUACCGUGAGGGAAAGGUGAAAAGCACCCCGGAAGGGGAGUGAAAUAGAACCUGAAACCGUGUGCUUACAAGUAGUCAGAGCCCGUUAAUGGGUGAUGGCGUGCCUUUUGUAGAAUGAACCGGCGAGUUACGAUUUGAUGCAAGGUUAAGCAGUAAAUGUGGAGCCGUAGCGAAAGCGAGUCUGAAUAGGGCGUUUAGUAUUUGGUCGUAGACCCGAAACCAGGUGAUCUACCCUUGGUCAGGUUGAAGUUCAGGUAACACUGAAUGGAGGACCGAACCGACUUACGUUGAAAAGUGAGCGGAUGAACUGAGGGUAGCGGAGAAAUUCCAAUCGAACCUGGAGAUAGCUGGUUCUCUCCGAAAUAGCUUUAGGGUUAGCCUCAAGUGAUGAUUAUUGGAGGUAGAGCACUGUUUGGAUGAGGGGCCCCUCUCGGGUUACCGAAUUCAGACAAACUCCGAAUGCCAAUUAAUUUAACUUGGGAGUCAGAACAUGGGUGAUAAGGUCCGUGUUCGAAAGGGAAACAGCCCAGACCACCAGCUAAGGUCCCAAAAUAUAUGUUAAGUGGAAAAGGAUGUGGCGUUGCCCAGACAACUAGGAUGUUGGCUUAGAAGCAGCCAUCAUUUAAAGAGUGCGUAAUAGCUCACUAGUCGAGUGACACUGCGCCGAAAAUGUACCGGGGCUAAACAUAUUACCGAAGCUGUGGAUUGUCCUUUGGACAAUGGUAGGAGAGCGUUCUAAGGGCGUUGAAGCAUGAUCGUAAGGACAUGUGGAGCGCUUAGAAGUGAGAAUGCCGGUGUGAGUAGCGAAAGACGGGUGAGAAUCCCGUCCACCGAUUGACUAAGGCUUCCAGAGGAAGGCUCGUCCGCUCUGGGUUAGUCGGGUCCUAAGCUGAGGCCGACAGGCGUAGGCGAUGGAUAACAGGUUGAUAUUCCUGUACCACCUAUAAUCGUUUUAAUCGAUGGGGGGACGCAGUAGGAUAGGCGAAGCGUGCGAUUGGAUUGCACGUCUAAGCAGUAAGGCUGAGUAUUAGGCAAAUCCGGUACUCGUUAAGGCUGAGCUGUGAUGGGGAGAAGACAUUGUGUCUUCGAGUCGUUGAUUUCACACUGCCGAGAAAAGCCUCUAGAUAGAAAAUAGGUGCCCGUACCGCAAACCGACACAGGUAGUCAAGAUGAGAAUUCUAAGGUGAGCGAGCGAACUCUCGUUAAGGAACUCGGCAAAAUGACCCCGUAACUUCGGGAGAAGGGGUGCUCUUUAGGGUUAACGCCCAGAAGAGCCGCAGUGAAUAGGCCCAAGCGACUGUUUAUCAAAAACACAGGUCUCUGCUAAACCGUAAGGUGAUGUAUAGGGGCUGACGCCUGCCCGGUGCUGGAAGGUUAAGAGGAGUGGUUAGCUUCUGCGAAGCUACGAAUCGAAGCCCCAGUAAACGGCGGCCGUAACUAUAACGGUCCUAAGGUAGCGAAAUUCCUUGUCGGGUAAGUUCCGACCCGCACGAAAGGCGUAACGAUUUGGGCACUGUCUCAACGAGAGACUCGGUGAAAUCAUAGUACCUGUGAAGAUGCAGGUUACCCGCGACAGGACGGAAAGACCCCGUGGAGCUUUACUGUAGCCUGAUAUUGAAAUUCGGCACAGCUUGUACAGGAUAGGUAGGAGCCUUUGAAACGUGAGCGCUAGCUUACGUGGAGGCGCUGGUGGGAUACUACCCUAGCUGUGUUGGCUUUCUAACCCGCACCACUUAUCGUGGUGGGAGACAGUGUCAGGCGGGCAGUUUGACUGGGGCGGUCGCCUCCUAAAAGGUAACGGAGGCGCUCAAAGGUUCCCUCAGAAUGGUUGGAAAUCAUUCAUAGAGUGUAAAGGCAUAAGGGAGCUUGACUGCGAGACCUACAAGUCGAGCAGGGUCGAAAGACGGACUUAGUGAUCCGGUGGUUCCGCAUGGAAGGGCCAUCGCUCAACGGAUAAAAGCUACCCCGGGGAUAACAGGCUUAUCUCCCCCAAGAGUUCACAUCGACGGGGAGGUUUGGCACCUCGAUGUCGGCUCAUCGCAUCCUGGGGCUGUAGUCGGUCCCAAGGGUUGGGCUGUUCGCCCAUUAAAGCGGUACGCGAGCUGGGUUCAGAACGUCGUGAGACAGUUCGGUCCCUAUCCGUCGUGGGCGUAGGAAAUUUGAGAGGAGCUGUCCUUAGUACGAGAGGACCGGGAUGGACAUACCUCUGGUGUACCAGUUGUCGUGCCAACGGCAUAGCUGGGUAGCUAUGUGUGGACGGGAUAAGUGCUGAAAGCAUCUAAGCAUGAAGCCCCCCUCAAGAUGAGAUUUCCCAACUUCGGUUAUAAGAUCCCUCAAAGAUGAUGAGGUUAAUAGGUUCGAGGUGGAAGCAUGGUGACAUGUGGAGCUGACGAAUACUAAUCGAUCGAAGACUUAAUCAA